CCCUCCGCCCCCCGCGGCACUGCGCGGGGCCCUGAGAGCGGGGUGAGGGCACCUGCCGCGGGGAUGCCGGUGGGAGCCGGACGGACCGGCGGCGUUCGCCUCUCGCUGCCGGGACGGAAAAGUUGGGCGCGUGCGGAAUAUACGUUAACUUUUUGAUUUUGUUUUAUCCCUGCCUCAGCCUUAGGACAAGUCCAUUAGCAUGCUAAGCCACGGUGGCUAACCCUGACGCAGGUCAUCGCUGCUAACUGUUCCCCUUGGUUCCUCACCGCAAGAGUCCCUGUGCCGACCCAGCCAACCCCCAGUCCAUCAAAGCUGUUCGGUACCAGAUGUAAUGCCUAUCCCUAACUUACCAAUAAUCUUUUGUACGCCCACAUGAAAACACAUCACAGCCCCCUUUUAUCAAAAUUAAAAAAAAAAUAAACAUUUACAAUAAUUUUGAGAAUGUAUUCUACAACAUACCCAUGUAUACAUGUUACACCUCGAUGAAAAACGUUCUUAAAUACAUUGUAAUACUUCAGUUCCUGAUAUAGAAUCAUAGAAUCGUUUGAGUUGGAAGGGACCCUUAAAGGCCAUCCAGUCCAAAGCCACUGCAAUGAGCAGGGAUACCAACAGCCAGAUCAGGUGCUCACAGCCUCAUCCAGCCCGGCCUUGGGUGUCCCCAGGGCCAGGGCAUCCACCACCUCUCUGGGCAACUUGCUUCGGUGCCUCUCAACCUUUACUGUAAAACACUUUUUUCUUACAUCCAACCUAAAUCUCCUCUCAUUUAGUUUGAAAUCGUUUCCCCUUGUCCUGUCACAACAGACCCUUCUGAAGAGUCUACCCUCUUCUUUCUUACAGCUCGCGUUUAGAUAUUGAAAGGCAGCUAUACCAUCCCCUGGGAGCCUUCUCUUCUGCAGGCUGAACAGCCCCAGCUCUCUCAGCCUGUCCUCAUAGGAGAGCUGUUCCAUCCCUUUGAUCAUUUUUGUGGCCCUCCUCUGGACACACUCCAACAGGUCCAUGUCUCUGCUGUACCGAGGACUCUGCAUCUGGAUGCAGUACUCCAGGUGAGGCCUCCCCAGCACAGAGCAGAGGGGCAGGAUCACCUCCCUCAACCUGCUGGCUGUGUUUCUUUCGUUGCAGCCCAGGCAACAGUCGGCUUUUUGGGCUGCAAGGGCACACUGCUGGCUCAUGUCCAGCUUGCCACUAAGCAGUACCCCCAGGUCCUUUUCAGCAGCCCGAAAUUAAUUCUGGUGCAACUAAUUCAUAGAGGUAGAUACAAUUUAAAAUCUGUAGAGCACCUUUAAAUAUGAAAAUGUGAAACUAAAUAUUAUUCAAAGAUCCACACAUUGGGCAUUGAUUAUAUUAACCUAUUCAACUGUAUUCAUGCUACAGUCAGUAAUGAAAUAUACCCAAGCACAGUAAGAGUAUUAUUAUGUGAAAAUUGUAAGAUCUUUCUACCAUUUCUGGUAGAAAAUGAUGGUAUUUCAAAAGAAAUUUGAUUAUUCUACCUUUUUUCUCUACAUUUUUCAUUUCUCUAUAGCCUAAUAGUAGGUACAUGCAAAACUAUCUCAUGCCUUUGUGUGAGUUCAUACGAAUUGAAUUCCAAAUGAAACAUUUAUAAGUAUUACUAUCAAAAAUAUUGCAGGUCUACAGAGUUAUUUCUUUUCAAUGCAAUUAGUUACAGUGUGAAUGUAAAGCAUCUCUCACUGUAGCUGUAUAGGCUUUACGUGAGAAACCAAAUGGAGAGAGAAAAUUGGGUCACAUGGGAAGGUUAAGGCCAGAACUACCACUAUGGUAUUCAGUUCAAUUUCCAGCAGAGAGAUGAUUUUAGCUGUCAUUUCUGUAAUAUUUUAAAAUAUGUUGUAUUUUACUCAUAUCCAGCUACCAUUUCAUGAGCUGAAAUGGCAGGAAAUCGUCUUCAGCAAACUUGUUCAACUCCAUGAUUAAAAGUAUAAUCUACAAGCAAUAGCCUCCUUUGGCAGGAGGAGUAUUUCAAUAUACUUCUCUGAUUCCAGUAGAAAAUUGCAGGGGAAACCUGGUUGGAUAAAUCCAACAGUGAUAAUAUCUGUUGGAUAAACCCAACAGAUCACAUUAUAAUACAGCAAGAUACUAAAUUCCAAAAUAUCUUCCACUCUUCCUAGUAUUUUCCUACAGCAAUGUCCUAGUAGCAGUUAUCAUCUUAUCACUGCAAUGAAAUUCAUUAUUUAUCUACCCAUAAUUAGCUGUCAAUAACUACAGCACAACUAAAUUAGCUGUCAAUAACUACAGCACAACUAUGGCUGCUGCUAGAGUUAAUAUGAUCAGGUUGUACCAAGCAUCAUGAGAUAUUUAAAUCAGUUUUACAGGUGAAAGAUGUACAAUGAGACCUCACCGCCAUUUACUUUACUCUCACUCUCUCAUUACUGCUUAUAGGAGCUCCAGUGAAAGUCUUUCUCAUCUCUAAGCAGCCAAAGGACAGGCAUCUACUCCAGCAUAGGUGCUGGGCAUCUUAAGGACACUGUGGACACAGAGCAGCGUCUGGCCCAUGUGAUGCACUGCUGGAAAUUGAGGGAGAAAAGGAAGGCACGACAUACAGCGAGAACACUUGUUUCUGCGACACUACCACUAGCAGAACACACUAAUUAGUCCAACAGAGUCUGCAAUGUCUCUUCCAACACUGGAAACCCAUCUGGGGGCUGCUAACUAGAGCAACAGGCAUAAUUUGCUUAAUUAGAGACUUUCACUUAUCAACCAGUGCCACGACACAGGAUCAAAAGAUUGUAAUUGCUGAAUAACGUUGUCAAAGUAAGUGCAUGCUAAUUUAUUUCUGGGAUUAUGGCAAGAACUACAAAGUAAAAUACAUUUAUCUAUUAAUUGAAAACAUCUGAAUAGCAAAACAUCAGCAAGAAGUUCUUUUUACAGAUUAUUUACAAAAAGGACUUCAUUCACACAAGUACUGUUAUGUAUUGUUCUGUUCCCAGUCUGUACCCACACACAUUCCACAGCCAGUGGAGCUUUACACAUGAACAUCUCUACUUCUGCUUCAAUUAAUCUUAUAGACUUGACUCCAGAGACAGCUACCAAAAAUCAUGCCAGCCGGUUGCUUGCACAGUGCAUUCUUAUCAGAAUAGUUGAAAUGCCAGCAGCGACACUGUUUUCCUCUAACUCACUAAUGCUAAAAGGAUCAGGAAAUAAGUCCUGCAGAGCACCGCUGAAGACAGGCACAUUCAAUGCUUGUGAUUGUUAUUUUGGUGUUUAGCAACUGAACAGUUUCUUGAAAGAAAAAAAAAAAGACGGUGGCUCAUACUAAGCCAUGAAGCAUCUCUUGACACCAAGUGAAGUGUCUUCAUAGCCACAGCCUAACGCAAAAAGAGAUCACACUUCAAAUACACAAGCCAGAUGUGUCCUUUCAAGUGAUACUUUUUAGUAUGUACUCACAUACGUAGUGCAGCUUCUACUGUUUAAUCACAUAACUGAACUUGCUAAUGUUAAAUGGUGAUGAAGGUACACUAAUUUACAAGGUUUCAGAGCUACUUCCAUGGAUACAACAUCACCCCUGCUCAGUUUGGGAGAUUAUUUCAAAAUAAGUCAUCUUUUAAUAUAUGCAUUAUAAAAACAAUCAGCUACAAGCACCACAUAAAAACAACAACAAAAAAGAGGCAUUACUUUAAUCAGUUAAUGAAACUCAUGGUAUACAACUGCUCAAUAAAAUACUUUUAUUCACGCACUCAGUGUAAAGAUGCAUCCAACAAAUAUUACAUCGUAAGAGGAACAGACUUGAAUUUAUUAAUUCAUUAAUACUUCUAAAUUCACUUUAAGUGGAAUUUCCCUGAGGUUAAGAAAAGCGUCUUUUGUAACCGUACAACAUCAAUAGCUCAUCAGUGCUAUCGGGGAAAAAAACUGGACAUGGGCAUUUAACAAAAGGAGAGCUCAACAGUACGUGCUAGAAACUGUUAGCCAAGGUCACUGCUGGGGUAUUGUGACUGCUGCUGGAUCGUGACCAGUACUGCAGAUAGGGAUAAAUACCAUAGACAGGUUUUGGAAAAAACAUGACACAAAUGGAGGGAAACAAACUCUGACUUAGGAAUGUAUGAACACAGAACUAAAUGCUUUGGAUAGGGUCCAACCCUUAGGUCAGACAUUUCGUUGCCUUUUAAAAGAACAACAGCACAAACACACAUGCACGCACAAAAACCCAUACCCCAAACCAGAUAUCUUUUUCAAAAAAAAGCCUUCAACCAGUGAGGAGACACAAGCAGCACUCCUCAAAUACACCUGCCCAACAAGAAAGCAGGACGAAGUAUUGCACAGUCACUUAGGCUAGCAAAAUCACCCUAAAAUGUUAUGCAAAAGUUUUCCAAAUCAUGGCAGCAGCACAACCUGUGACCUGACCCUAUCGCUACUGAUGUUAAUGGCAAAUUUCUUUCUAUAUUAGAUUGCAGAUGAGGCCUUACAAAAGAGGCCCAAAAGGUCUGGGAUUUGUUUCACAUUAACAAAA
Gallus gallus (chicken) is the source of this 4456-nucleotide long non-coding RNA. RefSeq lists it as uncharacterized. Lineage: Eukaryota; Metazoa; Chordata; Aves; Galliformes; Phasianidae. The transcript has 2 exons. The record is from RefSeq and is a predicted model, not a curated record.